GACGAACGCUGGCGGCGUGCUUAACACAUGCAAGUCGAGCGGUAAGGCCUUUCGGGGUACACGAGCGGCGAACGGGUGAGUAACACGUGAGUGAUCUGCCCUCAACUUCGGGAUAAGCUUCGGAAACGGGGUCUAAUACCGGAUAUGAUGUCCUGCUUCAUGGUGGGUGUUGAAAGUUUUGGCGGUUGGGGAUGGGCUCGCGGCCUAUCAGCUUGUUGGUGGGGUAAUGGCCUACCAAGGCGUCGACGGGUAGCCGGCCUGAGAGGGCGACCGGCCACCACUGGGACUGAGACACGGCCCAGACUCCUACGGGAGGCAGCAGUGGGGAAUAUUGCGCAAUGGACGGAAGUCUGACGCAGCAACGCCGCGUGAGGGAUGAC
This 380-nucleotide ribosomal RNA is filed under the name uncultured bacterium. RNAcentral's name for it is "bacterial SSU rRNA". It matches the Rfam family "Bacterial small subunit ribosomal RNA", at positions 28 to 412 of the family's 1533-position model. The record is from RNAcentral.